UUGGGGAGAUAAUUGCCCGAAGAAGUGGAGAUUUGUCGCGGGGGGCAACUAAUCUCCCCGAAUCUGCUUAUGUGGAGACCUUAAAGAUGUCCACACAUGGGCCAGUCCUGUAGGGCAUCAGAUCAAUAUGGAUACAGAUAUUGUCUACUGUACGAUAUGGAAUUCUUUGGAUAUAACAUCACUGAGGAUAAACACAGUCAUAGCUAACAUUUGGGGGGCGGGACAACUAUAUGGAAGGCUUGUAUUACAAUAUAUUCCUCAAAUUCUUUAUUUCCCACAGGGACAAGACAGAAGUUUUUUUCCCAGACAGAGACCAACUUUACUGCACCUGAGCAAAUGGAUGAGUGUGUAUACCCUCGGCAUGGGUAAUGACAAUGAAGAUACCCUACCCUUCCCUUCUUCCUUACAUUCCAUCUGUACUCAGGGACUAAAGCAGAGAGCACUGACCCAGCACUCCCUGAGCAGCAACAAUGGAGAUGAUUUUGCCAGCAGAGGGGUAAGUGAAUUCAUGAAAACUUCAGCUGUAUCCAAAUGUCAGAGUUCCAAAGGGCACAUGUUUAUCAUGAUGCACUCUAUUGCAUUAGCCCUCAAUGUUUCUCUGGUUAUAUUGCCUAGCUUUCAGCUUUAUGAUGAUUAAACCCCUAUUUCCAUAUAACUGGCACAGAUCCCACUCCAACAAAUGAUUCUGCAUAAAUUCACUGAACAUAAUGGCUGACAUAUAGCCGUAUUCUGGGAGUUAUGAAAUAGUCAGGCAGAGCUGCGCUGUACAUUCCCCAGGGCUGAGACGUGACUCAGCAUGCCAGGUUCUGUGUUCUUGUUCCAUUGCAGCAGUGCACAAUGUGGAUUUCUUGAGUCACAUUAAAUACCGCAGAGAAGAGAAAGUGCCCGAUAAUUUCAGCAGAGCUUUCUACCGGAUUCACUGCAAAGAAAACUCCCACAUAGCCACCUUACACAUAUGGGGAGGCCAGCUAGGAAUGAGUAGGGAGCACAUUUAAUAGUGAGCAUACUGAACAUAUAGGUCCUGUAUUUUUCCCCAGUUAGCAUUUAAUUACGUUUGGAUAUGUGUGCAAUACAUUUAAGCACAUUCUGUACACAGGCCUACACUUACAUUUGGAAACAGACACUUAUAGAUGAGGGAAAAGUGCUGCACCUGAUUAAAACACAUAUGGAUACAGCAUGUACUGUUCAUGUGUGUGUUUAAUGUGGGUGCCUUUGUUUAUAAUGAAUGACUGGAAGAAAAUCAAGAAAAAUCAUGUUUAGUGCCUAUUUUUAAGUUAAUGAAAGAGUUAACAUUUCCUUAAACAGAGAAGCUAAUCCCAGUCUGAAAAGUGAGGAAAAAAAAGCCAAGAAAAAAAAAGAAAUUGAUUAAUAAAUGCAAUCGAGUGAAAUCCAUCAACUCUGCAGCUAUAAUGUCAAGUACUGUAUAAUGUCACUCUGCCGCCUGCGCGUAGAACUACAAUGUAACUCUGCAGCUGCCUGUACAUGGAACUACAACAUAACUCAGCAGCCACCUGUGCAAGGAACUACAAUGUAACUCUGCAGCUGCCUGUACAUGGAACUACAACAUAACUCAGCAGCCACCUGUGCAAGGAACUACAAUGUAACUCUGUAGCUGCCUGUACAUGGAACUACAACAUAACUCUGCAACCACCUGUGCAUGGAACUAGAACAAAACUCUCCAGCUGCCUGUGCAUGGAACUACAAUGUAAGCCUGCAGCCGCCUGUGCAUGGAACUGCAACAUAACUCAGCAGCCACCUGUGCAUGGAACUACAAUGUAACCCUGCAGCCGCCUGGGCAUGGAACUGCAACAUAAUUCUGCAGCCGCCUGCACAUGGAGCUACAAUGUAAGUCUGCAGCUGUGACAGAGUCACAUUUUCAAUGUUAAGGGCUAAUACAUCAAAAUAAAAUGUCCUCCUAUACCCCAAUAUCUUUACUGGGAGGCAGCAAGCUCACUGCAUGUUCUGCUACUGCCAAAUCUCACCUUUCUUCAUGCAGAGAGCAACACUUUUUAUAAGGCAACAGCCUUAUUAUAACUCUGUAACUUUACUGGUUAGACAGUUUCCAUAUAUUACAGAAGCCAUUUGCCCAUA
Long non-coding RNA from Xenopus laevis (African clawed frog), 2091 nucleotides. RefSeq lists it as uncharacterized. The record is from RefSeq and is a predicted model, not a curated record. NCBI's taxonomy places the organism in Eukaryota, Metazoa, Chordata, Amphibia, Anura, Pipidae. The transcript is spliced from 2 exons.